RNAcentral lists this ribosomal RNA (481 nucleotides) under uncultured bacterium. RNAcentral describes it as "partial 16S ribosomal RNA". It matches the Rfam family "Bacterial small subunit ribosomal RNA", at positions 28 to 507 of the family's 1533-position model. The record is from RNAcentral.
GAUGAACGCUGGCGGCGUGCCUAACACAUGCAAGUCGAACGGAGAUUCCGGACGGAAGUUUUCGGAUGGAAGACUGUAAUUCUUAGUGGCGGACGGGUGAGUAACGCGUGGGCAACCUGCCCUAUACAGGGGGAUAGCAGCUGGAAACGGCUGGUAAGACCGCAUAAGUCGGUUAAAUCGCAUGAUUUGAUCGGGAAAUGAGCAAUCAGGUAUAGGAUGGGCCCGCGUCCGAUUAGCCAGUUGGCAGGGUAAAAGCCUACCAAAGCGACGAUCGGUAGCCGGACUGAGAGGUCGGACGGCCACAUUGGGACUGAGACACGGCCCAAACUCCUACGGGAGGCAGCAGUGGGGGAUAUUGCACAAUGGAGGAAACUCUGAUGCAGCGACGCCGCGUGAGUGAAGAAGUAUUUCGGUAUGUAAAGCUCUAUCAGCAGGGAAGAUGAUGACGGUACCUGACGAAGAAGCCCCGGCUAACUACGUG